GGGAGGAGCCAGAGGCUCCUCAAUUGCCCUUGUGCUUAAUGUCUAGCAAUAAGACAAAGUUGGGGUUGGCCCUCACUUUGGCUUGAAGAUAAUUUCAGACUGAGAUGUCCCUUUAUGAAAUGGAUGGGCUGGCAGAGCUGAAGCUGGGCAUUAAGAGCAGAGCAUCGGAGAAGAAGCAGCCUCAUUUGCUUCUGGUGUCAUCGUAGGUGUCCACCUUUGGCUUUGGGGCUUCCCAAUUUUUUUUUUUACUGCCAAUUCUUGCUUUUAUCUGGUGCAAUCCCAUAGAAAAUGCAAAUAUUCUGUAGCAAAAGAAUAAUGUAUGAUAAUGUUCACAAUAAUGAACCACUAAGACAGAAAUAAAUAUCUGAACCCACCCUCUUCCA
This 383-nucleotide long non-coding RNA is filed under the name Bos indicus x Bos taurus (hybrid cattle). Its description in RNAcentral is "lncRNA (ENSBIXG00000026481.1)". Lineage: Eukaryota; Metazoa; Chordata; Mammalia; Artiodactyla; Bovidae. The record is from RNAcentral.